Molecule: ribosomal RNA, 508 nt
Filed under: uncultured glomeraceous AM fungus
Lineage: Eukaryota; Fungi; Glomeromycota; Glomeromycetes; Glomerales; Glomeraceae
Description: SSU rRNA
Rfam family: Eukaryotic small subunit ribosomal RNA
Source: RNAcentral
AGCAGCCGCGGUAAUUCCAGCUCCAAUAGCGUAUAUUAAAGUUGUUGCAGUUAAAAAGCUCGUAGUUGAAUUUCGGGGUUAGUAGAUUGGUCAUGCCUCUGGUAUGUACUGGUCUCACUGAUUCCUCCUUCCUGAUGAUCCGUAAUGCCAUUAAUUUGGUGUUGCGGGGAAUUUGGACUGUUACUUUGAAAAAAUUAGAGUGCUUAAAGCAAGCUAACGCUUGAAUACAUUAGCAUGGAAUAAUGAAAUAGGACGUUCGAUCCUAUUUUGUUGGUUUCUAGGAUUGACGUAAUGAUUAAUAGGGAUAGUUGGGGGCAUUAGUAUUCAAUUGUCAGAGGUGAAAUUCUUGGAUUUAUUGAAGACUAACUACUGCGAAAGCAUUUGCCAAGGAUGUUUUCAUUAAUCAAGAACGAAAGUUAGGGGAUCGAAGACGAUCAGAUACCGUCGUAGUCUUAACCAUAAACUAUGCCGACUAGGGAUCGGAGGAUGUUAAUUUUUUAAUGACUCA